UGCGUAGGCGGAAUGAUAAGUUAGUGGUGAAAGCCCCCGGCUCAACCGGGGAACUGCCAUUAAUACUGUCAUUCUUGAGUAUAGUUGAAGUGGGCGGAAUGUAUCAUGUAGCGGUGAAAUGCUUAGAUAUGAUACAGAACACCGAUAGCGUAGGCAGCUUGCUAAACUAUAACUGACGCUCAGGCACGAAAGCGUGGGGGGCAAACAGGAUUAGAUACCCUGGUAGUCC
RNAcentral lists this ribosomal RNA (229 nucleotides) under uncultured bacterium. RNAcentral describes it as "partial 16S ribosomal RNA". It matches the Rfam family "Bacterial small subunit ribosomal RNA", at positions 568 to 796 of the family's 1533-position model. The record is from RNAcentral.